Molecule: long non-coding RNA, 487 nt
Filed under: Callithrix jacchus (white-tufted-ear marmoset)
Lineage: Eukaryota; Metazoa; Chordata; Mammalia; Primates; Cebidae
Description: lncRNA (ENSCJAG00000074880.1)
Source: RNAcentral
AUCAGAUUAGUCAUAACAAUAUACUAAAGGCUAUAGCAUAUUUCAUUGAGAAAUUAAACAGAGUCAGAGGACAUACUUUGGAAUAGUUUUCCUUUUUCCAGAACUGCCUGCUGAAGGUCAAGUGGGUUUAUCAUGAGACCCUCUUUGCAGGGUCCCAUCAAGAGAUGAUGAUUUAGCAUUGCCUAGCAGAGCCCACGUCAAGAAGCCCUGUGAACAUUACUGCUGCGCUGUCCUACCUCUAUUCCCUGCAGAGUGGCUCAGGCUUGCCGGGAUGUGGUCUUAGGAGAGAGAAGGAAUCUCUCUUCGAAGCAAUCUGAAAGCUUGCUGACAAAAAAUGAUGUGCAUGAAUGUCACCCUCUCCAUAACCCCAAAGAAAAAGACAAUUUGUGGAAUAUGAGUAAAUUCAGCCUCAUGUGACAGAAAACCUUUGAUUUUGUUUUUAACUUUAUAGGACUAGGCAACAAUAUUUUUUGUGGGUUUGUAGCUU